This is a long non-coding RNA of Solanum tuberosum (potato), 218 nucleotides long. RefSeq lists it as uncharacterized. The record is from RefSeq and is a predicted model, not a curated record. Lineage: Eukaryota; Viridiplantae; Streptophyta; Magnoliopsida; Solanales; Solanaceae. The transcript has 3 exons.
UGAAGCUUCCGAACCUACAAACCUACCAGUUACUUCAACUAGAGGAGAACGUAUAGUUAAUUGCUUAUCUACCUUCGAAGUAGGAUCAACAUCAACUGCAUCUCAUGUUGCAACUAAAUUAAGUUCAAGACUUACUGCAAAUAGAGGAACAACUUAUUCUAUCAAGGGUAACUGUUUAUAUAGUUCUAGCUCAAGGAAAUGACAAAGAUGACCUACCU